Molecule: transfer RNA, 72 nt
Filed under: Camelus dromedarius (Arabian camel)
Lineage: Eukaryota; Metazoa; Chordata; Mammalia; Artiodactyla; Camelidae
Also listed under: 1 other name
Rfam family: tRNA
About the family: Transfer RNA (tRNA) molecules are approximately 80 nucleotides in length. Their secondary structure includes four short double-helical elements and three loops (D, anti-codon, and T loops).
Source: Rfam by way of RNAcentral
GAGGGUGUAGCUCAGUGGGAGAGCGCCUGCCUAGCAUGCACAAGGUCCUGGGUUCAAUCCCCAGUACCUCCA